RNAcentral lists this ribosomal RNA (850 nucleotides) under uncultured archaeon. RNAcentral describes it as "bacterial SSU rRNA". It matches the Rfam family "Archaeal small subunit ribosomal RNA", at positions 67 to 902 of the family's 1478-position model. The record is from RNAcentral.
UAUGUCUGUGAGCGGCACACUGCUCAGUAACACGUAGCUAACCUACCCUUAGGACGUGGACAACCCCGAGAAAUUGGGGCUAAUCCGCGAUAGAUGUAUUGUCCUGGAAUGGUAUUACGUCUAAAGGUAUCCCAUACAUGUUUGGUAUAUGCCUAAGGAUGGGGCUGCGGCCGAUCAGGCUGUUGGUGAGGUAAUGGCUCACCAAACCUUUGACCGGUACGGGCCAUGAGAGUGGUAGCCCGGAGAUGGACACUGAGACAAGGGUCCAGGCCCUACGGGGCGCAGCAGGCGCGAAACCUCCUCAAUGCACUUACGUGCGAAGGGGCUACCUCGAGUGCCACCUGAUGAAGGUGGCUUUUCCUAGGUCUAAAAAGCCUUGGGAAUAAGAGGGGGGCAAGACUGGUGUCAGCCGCCGCGGUAACACCAGCCCCUCGAGUGGUGGGGAUGAUUAUUGGGCCUAAAGCGUCCGUAGCCUGCCGUGUAAGUUUCCCGUUAAAUCCAGCGUCUUAAGCGUUGGACCGCGGGAAAUACUGUACGGCUAGAGAGUGGGAGAGGUCAGCGGUAUUCUGGGGGUAGGGGCGAAAUCCUUUGAUCCCCGGAGGACCACCAGUGGCGAAGGCUGCUGUCUAGAACACGUCUGACGGUCAGGGACGAAAGCUGGGGUAGCGAACCGGGAUUAGAUACCCGGGUAGUCCCAGCCGUAAACGAUGCAUGCUAGGUGUUGGGUUGGCCACGAGCCGCCCCAGUGCCGCAGGGAAGCCGUUAAGCAUGCCGCCUGGGAAGUACGAUCGCAAGGUUGAAACUUAAAGGAAUUGGCGGGGGAGCACCACCAGGCGUGAAGCCUGCGGUU